UCCAACUUUUGUUCUGGGGCACUUUGGACUGCUCUUUUUCCAAUUUAAUUUGGGUAGUUUACACUGGCUUCUGUUUUCUUCUCUGUAUCUGAAGUCAUUCUUUGGCUAUCUGGUGGUGCAGGCCUUUUUCCUUGUCCAUUGUGAUCUCCAGCUUUUGUUUUGGAGCCCUUCAAGCAACAGUGUGUUCUAAUAUAAUUUAGUUAUAUACGACAAACGCCUGCGCACGUUGCAGUAAAUUUAAUAACAUUGCUACAGCCUGAUAGGUGGUGGAUCCUUGUUCAAAAAAUAAAAAAAUAAAAAAAUAAAAGAAGAAGCAAAAAGAAAAAGAAGACGAUGAAAAAAGAAUAAAAAGGGAAAAAAGAACAAAAAGAGGAAAAUAUUUGUACAAUGGCUUGUCCCGUUGGUAGGACGUGGAGGUUUGUCUUUCAGAGUCCAACGUUGUCCGUGGUUAUUUUGCCAUUAGAUAGCUUUCCACAGAAAAGGGCAAUCACGAUAAGGUAUAGAAAUGGAAACAUGAGACUAUCUAACCGAUGUAUAGACAUGGUCAGAGUUAGAGAGCUGCGAAUGAACUUCAAUAUGCAAGUAGAAGAGGAGGUUGCGAAUGCAGCGCUAUUAAGGUAUUCGAGGCAGAGAUAAGAAUAUAAAAGUGGUAUACACCCUGAGCUUGAGCAUGUUGUUGAAUUGUCAUCGUUGAAGAGAAGACCAAGGAAAGGGAGAACAAGAUUGAAGAUGGUGAAAUGGAAUCGCACAUGUUUAUCGGGCCAAAUUUUAUCCAAUAUGAUGAUCACAUGAUGGCCACCGAAGUUGAAGUUACGACAAGACGGUGGCCUGCUAAAAAUAAAUCUGUUGGCUUAACUUCCUCUUGGUGUAACUAAGAUGAGCUAGUUGUUCAGCCUUUGAAGAACCAGAAACAAAUCUGUUGGUGAACUUCCUCUGGGUAAUUGAUGUAGUUGGUUGUUUUAGCAUUUGAAGAGCCAAAAGCAAAUCUAUUGCUUGAACUUCCUUUGGGUGUAAUUGGAGAUGAGCCGGCGUUUUCUUCAUUUGGGCAGCAUGAACAAAUUGAGGCAAGGAAGGAUGGUUCUUAUGCCUUGAAGAAGCAAUUGCUGCACCAACUUCUGAGAUUUUCAUUGGGGCACCACGAACAAAUUGAGGCAGGGAAGGAUAUGGUGUUAUGCCUUGAAGAAGCAAUUGCUACACCAGUCCGAAAUUAUCCAUUGAUGAAAAGGAUAUUGUGAUGGAAAGAGAUAAGAAGCUUGUA
Long non-coding RNA from Pistacia vera, 1258 nucleotides. RefSeq lists it as uncharacterized. NCBI's taxonomy places the organism in Eukaryota, Viridiplantae, Streptophyta, Magnoliopsida, Sapindales, Anacardiaceae. The record is from RefSeq and is a predicted model, not a curated record. The transcript is spliced from 3 exons.